RNAcentral lists this ribosomal RNA (254 nucleotides) under uncultured bacterium. RNAcentral's name for it is "partial 16S ribosomal RNA". It matches the Rfam family "Bacterial small subunit ribosomal RNA", at positions 524 to 776 of the family's 1533-position model. The record is from RNAcentral.
UACAGAGGUCCCGAGCGUUGUUCGGAUUCACUGGGCGUAAAGAGCGUGUAGGCGGCCAGGUAGGUCGGUUGUGAAAACUAGAGGCUUAACCUCUAGACGUCGACCGAAACCAUCUGGCUAGAGUCCGGAAGAGGAGAGUGGAAUUCCGUGGUGUAGCGGUGAAAUGCGCAGAUAUCAGGAAGAACACCCGUGGCGAAAGCGGCUCUCUGGGACGGUACUGACGCUGAGACGCGAAAGCGUGGGGAGCGAACAGG